This 72-nucleotide transfer RNA is filed under the name Perca fluviatilis (European perch). It matches the Rfam family "tRNA". Rfam says of the family: Transfer RNA (tRNA) molecules are approximately 80 nucleotides in length. Their secondary structure includes four short double-helical elements and three loops (D, anti-codon, and T loops). Further hydrogen bonds mediate the characteristic L-shaped molecular structure. tRNAs have two regions of fundamental functional importance: the anti-codon, which is responsible for specific mRNA codon recognition, and the 3' end, to which the tRNAs corresponding amino acid is attached (by aminoacyl-tRNA synthetases). tRNAs cope with the degeneracy of the genetic code in two manners: having more than one tRNA (with a specific anti-codon) for a particular amino acid; and 'wobble' base-pairing, i.e. permitting non-standard base-pairing at the 3rd anti-codon position. The record is from Rfam by way of RNAcentral. Lineage: Eukaryota; Metazoa; Chordata; Actinopteri; Perciformes; Percidae.
GCCGAAAUAGCUCAGUUGGGAGAGCGUUAGACUGAAGAUCUAAAGGUCCCUGGUUCAAGCCGGGUUUCGGCA